Molecule: long non-coding RNA, 392 nt
Filed under: Vigna radiata
Lineage: Eukaryota; Viridiplantae; Streptophyta; Magnoliopsida; Fabales; Fabaceae
Description: long non-coding RNA (VRAD_LNC003135)
Source: RNAcentral
ACAAAAGCAAAUAUGGCACAAAUACAAGCAAAUGCAAGGGUGAGCUAAUUAUAUAAAAAGCACGCAAUUAUAUCAACAUAUACUUGAUUUUAACUCAAGUAAAGUAUAUACAAGCAAGGCAAUAUAUACAUAACACAGAUCCUAGCAUGUUAUCUUCUAGACUUGACUCGUCUAACUUUUAGAAUGAUAGACAAGUUAUGGCGGGUCAUGCACCUGUGGUGGCUUGUGAUACUUGGGCUCCCCCACCUUGCCACACUCACGAGGUUAGUCCGUUCCCUGCCCUGAAGCAUACUGAAAGCCUCCAAGACUAAGACCUCCUGCUACUCCUUACCACAUGAUUUAAUCCUCUCUACAUAAGAAGAAUGGCCAUUGGAGCGUCAGGAAGAUCCCCA